UACGAGGGGGGCAAGCGUUGUUCGGAAUUAUUGGGCGUAAAGGGUGCGUAGGCGGUUUGAUAAGUCACAUGUGAAAUCUUCGGGCUCAACCCGAAGUCUGCAUGCGAAACUGUCGGGCUUGAGUAUGGGAGAGGUGAGUGGAAUUUCCGGUGUAGCGGUGAAAUGCGUAGAUAUCGGAAGGAACACCAAUUGCGAAGGCAGCUCGCUGGGACGUGACUGACGCUGAGACGCGAAAGCGUGGGGAGCAAACAGG
This 253-nucleotide ribosomal RNA is filed under the name uncultured bacterium. Its description in RNAcentral is "partial 16S ribosomal RNA". It matches the Rfam family "Bacterial small subunit ribosomal RNA", at positions 524 to 776 of the family's 1533-position model. The record is from RNAcentral.